UCCGGUUUGUCACCGGCAGUCUCCUUAGAGUUCCCGGCAUAACCCGCUGGCAAAUAAGGAUAAGGGUUGCGCUCGUUACGGGACUUAACCCAACAUCUCACGACACGAGCUGACGACAGCCAUGCAGCACCUGUCACCCGGUUCCCGAAGGCACCCUCCCAUCUCUGGGAGGUUCCGGGGAUGUCAAGGGGUGGUAAGGUUCUUCGCGUUGCAUCGAAUUAAACAACAUGCUCCACCGCUUGUGCGGGCCCCCGUCAAUUCAUUUGAGUUUUAGCCUUGCGGCCGUACUCCCCAGGCGGAGAACUUAUCGCGUUAGCUGCGCCACUAAGGAGUCAAGCUCCCCAACGGCUAGUUCUCAUCGUUUACGGCGUGGACUAC
This 378-nucleotide unclassified non-coding RNA is filed under the name uncultured Gammaproteobacteria bacterium. RNAcentral's name for it is "contains 16S-23S intergenic spacer region". The record is from RNAcentral. Lineage: Bacteria; Pseudomonadati; Pseudomonadota; Gammaproteobacteria.